RNAcentral lists this ribosomal RNA (534 nucleotides) under uncultured bacterium. RNAcentral describes it as "bacterial SSU rRNA". It matches the Rfam family "Bacterial small subunit ribosomal RNA", at positions 360 to 893 of the family's 1533-position model. The record is from RNAcentral.
AAUAUUGGGCAAUGGAGGCAACUCUGACCCAGCCAUGCCGCGUGAAGGAAGAAGGCCUUAUGGGUUGUAAACUUCUUUUAUUUGGGAAGAAACCUUUCUACGUGUAGAAAGCUGACGGUACCAAACGAAUAAGGACCGGCUAACUCCGUGGCCAGCAGCCGCGGUAAUACGGAGGGUCCAAGCGUUAUCCGGAAUCAUUGGGUUUAAAGGGUGCGCAGGCGGUUUAAUAAGUCAGUGGUGAAAUCUCGGGGCUCAACUCCGAAACUGCCAUUGAUACUGUUAAACUUGAGUUCAGUUGGAGUAGGCGGAAUGUGUAGUGUAGCGGUGAAAUGCUUAGAUAUUACACAGAACACCGAUAGCGAAGGCAGCUUACUAAACUGAUACUGACGCUGAGGCACGAAAGCGUGGGGAGCGAACAGGAUUAGAUACCCUGGUAGUCCACGCCGUAAACUAUGAUUACUCGAUAUUGGCGAUAUACUGUCAGUGUCUAAGCGAAAGUGAUAAGUAAUCCACCUGGGGAGUACGGUCGCAAGA